GUUUCGUUUAUUUGAAGGACCGACAUUAAUUAUAAUGUGAUAAACAGAGCUAAUACAUGCUAAAAAUCCCGACUUCGGAAGGGAUGUAUUUAUUAGAUUAAAAACCAAUGCCCUCUGGGCUCUUUGGUGAUUCAUGAUAACUUCUCGAAUCGCACGGCCUUGCGCCGGCGAUGGUUCAUUCAAAUUUCUUCCCUAUCAACUUUCGAUGUUUGGGUAUUGGCCAAACAUGGUUGCAACGGGUAACGGAGGGUUAGGGCUCGACCCCGGAGAAGGAGCCUGAGAAACGGCUACUACAUCCAAGGAAGGCAGCAGGCGCGCAAAUUACCCAAUCCCGACACGGGGAGGUAGUGACAAUAAAUACUGAUACAGGGCUCUUUUGGGUCUUGUAAUUGGAAUGAGUACAAUUUAAAUCCCUUAACGAGGAACAAUUGGAGGGCAAGUCUGGUGCCAGCAGCCGCGGUAAUUCCAGCUCCAAUAGCGUAUAUUAAAGUUGUUGUGGUUAAAAAGCUCGUAGUUGAACCUUGGGCCUGGCUGGCCGGUCCGCCUCACCGCGUGUACUGGUCCGGCCGGGCCUUUCCCUCUGUGGAACCUCAUGCCCUUCACUGGGUGUGACGGGGAAACAGGACUUUUACUUUGAAAAAAUUAGAGUGCUCCAGGCAGGCCUAUGCUCGAAUACAUUAGCAUGGAAUAAUGAAAUAGGACGUGUGGUUCUAUUUUGUUGGUUUCUAGGACCGCCGUAAUGAUUAAUAGGGACAGUCGGGGGCAUCAGUAUUCAAUUGUCAGAGGUGAAAUUCUUGGAUUUAUUGAAGACUAACUACUGCGAAAGCAUUUGCCAAGGAUGUUUUCAUUAAUCAGGAACG
This 860-nucleotide ribosomal RNA is filed under the name uncultured fungus. RNAcentral describes it as "SSU rRNA". It matches the Rfam family "Eukaryotic small subunit ribosomal RNA", at positions 110 to 985 of the family's 1831-position model. Lineage: Eukaryota; Fungi. The record is from RNAcentral.